Molecule: unclassified non-coding RNA, 36 nt
Filed under: synthetic construct
Description: RNA (35-MER) from synthetic construct (PDB 6E8T, chain B)
Source: RNAcentral
GUACGAAGGAAGGUUUGGUAUGUGGUAUAUUCGUAC